CUUCUGAUCUGGUUAUUUUUGGUAGUCAAUAACUACUAACUAGUAAAUAUACGCUCAUGAACUGAGGACUCACCAAAACUCAGUAUCUUACUUCCAAGCAAUUCCACUGCUUUGACAAUAAAUGUGAUGAAGCGUACCCCACAGCUGAAGUUCAAACUUCCUGAAAAUAGUAGCAAUUGCGAUAAGCAGUGUCGUCUGCGCUAGACUGUUAAAUGGUAGAGCAAGCAUCAGAUUGGACACCAGGUAUCUCUCAAGUCGCUUUCGUUCCUGCAGGUCCAGCCAGCGCUCUGGAGCAAACUUGCAUGAGUCUGGGAAGAUGGUUUCAUUGUGGUGCAUGAGAACCGAUGUCAUUCCAACGGGAGUCUGUCAAUUGGAAGAAAGGGCUCAUGAGCAAUGUCCGUCUUGUCGAUGUUCAAAUAAUAAUAAGAUAGCGACUUCCGUUGCAGCCGUGUGCUUACUCCGUACGACAACCUAGGAGUCAAGUUUCAGUAUGGCAUCCUUUACAUCACUUUCCACUGGCCAUCAUUACCGCAAUCCCUCAAGGAUGACCGAAGUCUAACACCGAAGAGUUAGUUAACCUUCUGUCAAUCUGGGUUCCCGGAAGUACACCAGGAGACAAACCAGGUAUGGAAGCUUUCCCAGCUCGUGGACUUGCUGCUCAGAAUUGCCACCGUCUUCCAAAAUGGAAAGCUCGUUUUGAAGUUUUUGGAGUUUGUCUGGAUUGUCGAGAAGAUGGUAUGUUAUGACAGUUGGCGCGUUUGACGUUGUUUCAAUACCCGCAGCUGUUGUAGAUCGGAUUUCUUGGAGAAUUCGCUCAGGAGUUUUCUCUUCAACUUCCAAAUUAGAAUCAAGGAUUUGGUCGAUCAAC
This 868-nucleotide small RNA is filed under the name Histoplasma capsulatum var. duboisii H88. Its description in RNAcentral is "Histoplasma capsulatum H88 hypothetical RNA". The record is from RNAcentral. Lineage: Eukaryota; Fungi; Ascomycota; Eurotiomycetes; Onygenales; Ajellomycetaceae.